AUUGAACGCUGGCGGCAGGCUUAACACAUGCAAGUCGAGCGGGGGAAGGUAGCUUGCUACCGGACCUAGCGGCGGACGGGUGAGUAAUGCUUAGGAAUCUGCCUAUUAGUGGGGGACAACAUCUCGAAAGGGAUGCUAAUACCGCAUACGUCCUACGGGAGAAAGCAGGGGAUCUUCGGACCUUGCGCUAAUAGAUGAGCCUAAGUCGGAUUAGCUAGUUGGUGGGGUAAAGGCCUACCAAGGCGACGAUCUGUAGCGGGUCUGAGAGGAUGAUCCGCCGCACGGGGACUGAGACACGGCCCAGACUCCUACGGGAGGCAGCAGUGGGGAAUAUGGGACAAGGGGGGGAACCCUGAUCCAGCCAUGCCGCGUGUGUGAAGAAGGCCUUAUGGUUGUAAAGCACUUUAAGCGAGGAGGAGGCUACUUUAGUUAAUACCUAGAGAUAGUGGACGUUACUCGCAGAAUAAGCACCGGCUAACUCUGUGCCAGCAGCCGCAGUAA
This 501-nucleotide ribosomal RNA is filed under the name uncultured bacterium. RNAcentral's name for it is "partial 16S ribosomal RNA". It matches the Rfam family "Bacterial small subunit ribosomal RNA", at positions 30 to 523 of the family's 1533-position model. The record is from RNAcentral.